UACGUAGGUGGCAAGCGUUGUUCGGAAUAACUGGGCGUAAAGGAUGCGUAGGCGGUUAAACAAGUUAUAUGUUAAAUAUAUAGGCUUAACCUGUAGAAAGCAUAUAAAACUGUUUAACUAGAGUGCAGGAGAGGUAAGUGGAAUUCCUAGUGUAGCGGUGAAAUGCGUAGAGAUUAGGAAGAACACCAGUGGCGAAGGCGGAUGACUGGACGGCAACUGACGGUGAGGCGCGAAAGCGUGGGGAGCAAACAGG
This 253-nucleotide ribosomal RNA is filed under the name uncultured Candidatus Neoarthromitus sp. RNAcentral describes it as "uncultured Candidatus Arthromitus sp. partial 16S ribosomal RNA". It matches the Rfam family "Bacterial small subunit ribosomal RNA", at positions 524 to 776 of the family's 1533-position model. Lineage: Bacteria; Bacillati; Bacillota; Clostridia; Eubacteriales; Clostridiaceae. The record is from RNAcentral.